Molecule: ribosomal RNA, 433 nt
Filed under: uncultured bacterium
Lineage: Bacteria
Description: partial 16S ribosomal RNA
Rfam family: Bacterial small subunit ribosomal RNA
Source: RNAcentral
AACGAACGCUGGCGGCAUGCCUAACACAUGCAAGUCGAACGAGACCUUCGGGUCUAGUGGCGCACGGGUGCGUAACGCGUGGGAAUCUGCCCUUGGGUUCGGAAUAACAGUGAGAAAUUACUGCUAAUACCGUAUGAUGUCUUCGGACCAAAGAUUUAUCGCCCAGGGAUGAGCCCGCGUAGGAUUAGCUAGUUGGUGGGGUAAUGGCCUACCAAGGCGACGAUCCUUAGCUGGUCUGAGAGGAUGAUCAGCCACACUGGGACUGAGACACGGCCCAGACUCCUACGGGAGGCAGCAGUGGGGAAUAUUGGACAAUGGGCGCAAGCCUGAUCCAGCAAUGCCGCGUGAGUGAUGAAGGCCUUAGGGUUGUAAAGCUCUUUUACCCGGGAUGAUAAUGACAGUACCGGGAGAAUAAGCUCCGGCUAACUCCGUG